Molecule: RNA transcript, 1659 nt
Organism: Scylla paramamosain (green mud crab)
Lineage: Eukaryota; Metazoa; Arthropoda; Malacostraca; Decapoda; Portunidae
Exons: 4
Source: RefSeq, a predicted model, not a curated record
UCUGUGCUUUGAUAAUUUUUUUACCCUCUUUCUUUCUUUUUUUAAGGGGGAUGUCUUUGUUAUUUUUCGAUUAUAUUUUGUUCUGUUUUGUUUCUAUUUUAACCAUUUUUUCCUCUUCUUUUUUUGUUAUUUAUCUCUUCUUUAAUUUUGUGUUAUCUCUCUUGUUACCUCCUUUAUUGAACUUGGUCACCUUAUUCAUGUCGCCUUUCACAAUUCACUUCCCUCUCUAUCACCUCAAAUUUACGUUCAUGUUUACACUUUCUUAUAAUCGCAUUUUUUUUUCUUUUUUUUUUUUGUUAUUUCCUUGUACUUUCAUUCAGUGUUUGUUAUCCUUCAUAUUAUCCAUUUAUCCAGAUAUUUAUUUUAUUUUCUUAUUCCAAUGAAACAAAAUACGUACGUUUAUGUGUACGUAUGUGUGUGUACGUGUUUGAUCAUUGUUUCGUGAAAGUAUCACGAAAUUUAGUUUGUGUAUUAUUGUUACUUACUUUUGAUUACUUUUUGUUAAUAUUACUGUUUGCAUUGCGCAUGUUGCGUUUUGUUUGUUUCUUACUUCACCCCGGCGCCAGCAGCCAGCACCCAGCAGCCGCCACGCAGGUCAGUUGUCUGUGGUGGCUGCUUCCGCCAGGGUGAGUGUGGUGUGGCGGCCGUGUGACAUGGCCCAUGCUGGUUCCCUGCUGUUCCUUGCGGGAUUACUACGAGAGAGAGUGUGGCCCCGAAGUCCCCCUGCGUUGCGAUGUUGGGGACCUGUCUGGCCUUAUUGGUACCAUCGACAUUAGAGAGAAGAGAUUUGUGUUUGUGGAUCGCAAUCUGCCCCUGGCAUCAUGAACCGGGCCAUGAUCAUCCACACGGAGAACGCGGGAGUGGAGCGGUUCGCCUGCGCCAAUAUUGAACCAGACGAUGACAUAAUUAAGUGGGUCAUUAUCAGAAAGGCGCCCAAAUUUUCUGUGCCUACCUUCAUGAUGGGCAUGCGCGAGGUGUUAUGGACGCCCAAGCAGCUGAUCUCCAGACGGUGACCUUGUCCAGUGACCAGUAGUGCGUGACCUUCGUGGUGCACUUCAUGGGUGAGUGGGUGGGGUAGUGGAGGGAGGGAAUAAGAGAUUUUUGUUUCCUUUAGUCAGUCCUUCAAUUCGUUUGUUGGUCAAUUUUCUUUGAUUAUCUUCUUUCAAUAUUCCUUUUUCUUUUAAUAUUCCUUUUUUUUUAUAUUCCGAUAAUUCAUUCUUUUAUAUUUUACUUUCCCUCAUUCAUUUGUUUCUCAUUUCAGCCCUUUCGACUAUUUUUUUUCUUUUCCUUUUUUCAGGUUUCUCAUUUCUUUCUCUCCCUUCGUCUAUCGUUUGUUUCAUUUCUCAUCCAGUCACCUCCUUUCGCCUAUUUUUUUUCUCCCUUUCUUACCUCUCCUUAUCAGUGAUAUUUAAGUCUUUCCUCUUUUGUCCCUCUCCUUGUUUCAUCUCAUCGGUCACGCUGAGUCCUCAUUUGUGUCGCUAUUCUCAGUCUCCCCUCAUUCCAUCUCUUCCUCUCAUCAUCUCAUCAACUUCUCUCCUCCUUUCACCUCCUCCUUUCACCUCAUCAUUGCAUCACAUUAAUAAAGUUUCCUUUAAUUUAGUUUACUCCUUUUCCUUCCUCCCAUACCCUCUCACACACACCUUCCCCUCACCCCUCUCC